RNAcentral lists this non-coding RNA (20 nucleotides) under Arabidopsis thaliana (thale cress). The record is from RNAcentral. Lineage: Eukaryota; Viridiplantae; Streptophyta; Magnoliopsida; Brassicales; Brassicaceae.
AACAUGCCCUUGAUGUUUUA